CAAGUCGAGCGGAUGUAAGGGAGCUUGCUCCUGGAUUCAGCGGCGGACGGGUGAGUAAUGCCUAGGAAUCUGCCUGGUAGUGGGGGAUAACGUCCGGAAACGGGCGCUAAUACCGCAUACGUCCUGAGGGAGAAAGUGGGGGAUCUUCGGACCUCACGCUAUCAGAUGAGCCUAGGUCGGAUUAGCUAGUUGGUGGGGUAAAGGCCUACCAAGGCGACGAUCCGUAACUGGUCUGAGAGGAUGAUCAGUCACACUGGAACUGAGACACGGUCCAGACUCCUACGGGAGGCAGCAGUGGGGAAUAUUGGACAAUGGGCGAAAGCCUGAUCCAGCCAUGCCGCGUGUGUGAAGAAGGUCUUCGGAUUGUAAAGCACUUUAAGUUGGGAGGAAGGGCAGUAAGUUAAUACCUUGCUGUUUUGACGUUACCAACAGAAUAAGCACCGGCUAACUUCGUGCCAGCAGCCGCGGUAAUACGAAGGGUGCAAGCGUUAAUCGGAAUUACU
RNAcentral lists this ribosomal RNA (503 nucleotides) under Pseudomonas aeruginosa. RNAcentral describes it as "bacterial SSU rRNA". It matches the Rfam family "Bacterial small subunit ribosomal RNA", at positions 58 to 555 of the family's 1533-position model. Lineage: Bacteria; Pseudomonadati; Pseudomonadota; Gammaproteobacteria; Pseudomonadales; Pseudomonadaceae. The record is from RNAcentral.